UCUCCGUUGGUGAACCAGCGGAGGGAUCAUUACAGAGUUAUCUGCCUCCCAAACCCAUGUGAACUUACCAUUUGAUGCCUCGGCAGAGCCUACCCGGUAACUGUUCGGAGAAGCUACCCUGUAGCUACCCUGUAACGGCCUACCCUGUAACGCACUGCCGGUGGACUUUUAAACUCUUGUUAUUUUAUAGUAAUCUGAGCGUCUUAUUUUAAUAAGUCAAAGCUUUCAACAACGGAUCUCUUGGUGCUGGCAUCGAUGAAGAACGCAGC
RNAcentral lists this unclassified non-coding RNA (269 nucleotides) under uncultured fungus. Its description in RNAcentral is "sequence contains ITS1, 5.8S rRNA gene". The stretch from base 221 to 269 matches the Rfam family "5.8S ribosomal RNA", at positions 1 to 49 of the family's 154-position model. The record is from RNAcentral. Lineage: Eukaryota; Fungi.